AGUGAACGCUGGCGGCGUGCUUAACACAUGCAAGUCGAACGAGAACGGAUUAUAGCUUGCUAUAAUUGUCAGCUAAGUGGCGCACGGGUGAGUAAUGUAUAGGUAAUAUGCCUCUUACUAAGGGAUAACAAUUGGAAACGAUUGCUAAUACCUUAUAUUCCUUUUAUCAAAAGAUAAAAGGGAAAGAUUUAUUGGUAAGAGAUUAGCCUGUAUUGUAUCAGUUAGUUGGUGGGGUAAUGGCCUACCAAGACGAUGACGCAUAACUGGUUUGAGAGGAUGAUCAGUCACACUGGAACUGAGACACGGUCCAGACUCCUACGGGAGGCAGCAGUGGGGAAUAUUGCACAAUGGACGAAAGCCUGAUCCAGCCAUGCCGCGUGAGUGAAGAAGGCCUCGGUUGUAAG
Molecule: ribosomal RNA, 404 nt
Filed under: uncultured bacterium
Lineage: Bacteria
Description: bacterial SSU rRNA
Rfam family: Bacterial small subunit ribosomal RNA
Source: RNAcentral